AGUGAACGCUGGCGGUAGGCCUAACACAUGCAAGUCGAACGGCAGCACAGUAAGAGCUUGCUCUUACGGGUGGCGAGUGGCGGACGGGUGAGGAAUACAUCGGAAUCUACUUUUUCGUGGGGGAUAACGUAGGGAAACUUAUGCUAAUACCGCAUACGACCUACGGGUGAAAGCAGGGGAUCUUCGGACCUUUCGCGUUAGAAUGAGCCGAUGCCGGAUUAGCUAGUUGGCGGGGUAAAGGCCCACCAAGGCGACGAUCCGUAGCUGGUCUGAGAGGAUGAUCAGCCACACUGGAACUGAGACACGGUCCAGACUCCUACGGGAGGCAGCAGUGGGGAAUAUUGGACAAUGGGCGCAAGCCUGAUCCAGCCAUACCGCGUGGGUGAAGAAGGCCUUCGGGUUGUAAAGCCCUUUUGUUGGGAAAGAAAAGCAGCAGGUUAAUACCCCGCUGUUCUGACGGUACCCAAAGAAUAAGCACCGGCUAACUUCGUG
RNAcentral lists this ribosomal RNA (492 nucleotides) under uncultured bacterium. RNAcentral's name for it is "partial 16S ribosomal RNA". It matches the Rfam family "Bacterial small subunit ribosomal RNA", at positions 29 to 507 of the family's 1533-position model. The record is from RNAcentral.